RNAcentral lists this ribosomal RNA (376 nucleotides) under uncultured bacterium. RNAcentral's name for it is "bacterial SSU rRNA". It matches the Rfam family "Bacterial small subunit ribosomal RNA", at positions 524 to 898 of the family's 1533-position model. The record is from RNAcentral.
UACGGAGGGUGCAAGCGUUGCUCGGAAUUAUUGGGCGUAAAGGGUAGGUAGGUGGUCUUAUUUGUCUGGGGUGAAAGCCUUGAGCUUAACUCAAGAAGUGCCCCAGAAACGGUGAGACUAGAGUUCUAGAGAGGGUCGUGGAAUUCCCGGUGUAGCGGUGAAAUGCGUAGAGAUCGGGAGGAACACCAGAGGCGAAGGCGGCGACCUGGAUAGAUACUGACACUCAACUACGAAAGCGUGGGGAGCAAACAGGAUUAGAUACCCUGGUAGUCCACGCUGUAAACGAUGGAUACUAGGUUUGGUGGGUCUUGACCCCCGCCGAACCGGAGCUAACGCAAUAAGUAUCCCGCCUGGGAAGUACGGUCGCAAGACUAAA